CCUACGGGCGGCAGCAGUGGGGGAUAUUGCACAAUGGGGGAAACCCUGAUGCAGCGACGCCGCGUGAGUGAAGAAGUAUUUCGGUAUGUAAAGCUCUAUCAGCAGGGAAGAAAAUGACAGUACCUGACUAAGAAGCCCCGGCUAACUACGUGCCAGCAGCCGCGGUAAUACGUAGGGGGCAAGCGUUAUCCGGAUUUACUGGGUGUAAAGGGAGCGUAGACGGUGAAGCAAGUCUGAAGUGAAAGGCCGGGGCCCAACCCCGGGACUGCAUUGGAAACUGUGUAACUGGAGUACAGGAGGGGCAGGCGGAAUUCCUGGUGUAGCGGUGAAAUGCGUAGAUAUCAGGAGGAACACCAGCGGCGAAGGCGGCCUACUGGACUGAAACUGACGUUGAGGCUCGAAAGCGUGGGGAGCAAACAGGAUUAGAUACCCCUGUAGUC
RNAcentral lists this ribosomal RNA (440 nucleotides) under uncultured bacterium. Its description in RNAcentral is "partial 16S ribosomal RNA". It matches the Rfam family "Bacterial small subunit ribosomal RNA", at positions 338 to 795 of the family's 1533-position model. The record is from RNAcentral.